RNAcentral lists this ribosomal RNA (292 nucleotides) under uncultured bacterium. Its description in RNAcentral is "partial 16S ribosomal RNA". It matches the Rfam family "Bacterial small subunit ribosomal RNA", at positions 505 to 796 of the family's 1533-position model. The record is from RNAcentral.
GUGUCAGCAGCCGCGGUAAUACGUAGGGGGCAAGCGUUGUCCGGAAUCAUUGGGCGUAAAGCGCGUGUAGGCGGCUCGGUAAGUCCGCUCUGAAAGUCCAGGGCUCAACCCUGGGAUGCGGGUGGAUACUGCCGGGCUCGAGUCCGGAAGAGGCGAGUGGAAUUCCCGGUGUAGCGGUGAAAUGCGCAGAUAUCGGGAGGAACACCAAUGGCGAAGGCAGCUCGCUGGGACGUGACUGACGCUGAGACGCGAAAGCGUGGGGAGCAAACAGGAUUAGAUACCCUGGUAGUCC